Molecule: ribosomal RNA, 429 nt
Filed under: Verrucomicrobiota bacterium
Lineage: Bacteria; Pseudomonadati; Verrucomicrobiota
Description: Verrucomicrobia bacterium partial 16S ribosomal RNA
Rfam family: Bacterial small subunit ribosomal RNA
Source: RNAcentral
UAGGGAAUCUUCCGCAAUGGACGAAAGUCUGACGGAGCAACGCCGCGUGAGUGAAGAAGGCUUUCGGUUCGUAAAACUCUGUUGUUAGGGAAGAAAAAAUGUAUAGUAACUAUAUACAAAAGAGACGGUACCUAACCAGAAAGCCACGGCUAACUACGUGCCAGCAGCCGCGGUAAUACGUAGGUGGCAAGCGUUGUCCGGAAUUAUUGGGCGUAAAGCGCGCGCAGGUGGUUUAGAAAGUCUGAUGUGAAAGCCCACGGCUCAACCGUGGAGGGUCAUUGGAAACUAAUAAACUUGAGUGCAGGAGAGGAAAGUGGAAUUCCUAGUGUAGCGGUGAAAUGCGUAGAGAUUAGGAGGAACACCGGUGGCGAAAGCGGCUUUUUGGCCUGCAACUGACACUGAGGCGCGAAAGCGUGGGGAGCAAACAGG